GAUGAACGCUGGCGGCGUGCCUAAUACAUGCAAGUCGAGCGAACGGACGAGAAGCUUGCUUCUCUGAUGUUAGCGGCGGACGGGUGAGUAACACGUGGAUAACCUACCUAUAAGACUGGGAUAACUUCGGGAAACCGUAGCUAAUACCGGAUAAUAUUUUGAACCGCAUGAUUCAAAAGUGAAGGACGGUCUUGCUGUCACUUAUAGAUGGAUCCGCGCUGCAUUAGCUAGUUGGUAAGGUAACGGCUUACCAAGGCAACGAUGCAUAGCCGACCUGAGAGGGUGAUCGGCCACACUGGAACUGAGACACGGUCCAGACUCCUACGGGAGGCAGCAGUAGGGAAUCUUCCGCAAUGGGCGAAAGCCUGGCGGAGCAACGCCGCGUGAGUGAUGAAGGUCUUCGGAUCGUAAAACUCUGUUAUUAGGGAAGAACAUAUGUGUAAGUAACUGUGCACAUCUUGACGGUACCUAAUCAGAAAGCCACGGCUAACUACGUG
RNAcentral lists this ribosomal RNA (497 nucleotides) under uncultured bacterium. RNAcentral's name for it is "partial 16S ribosomal RNA". It matches the Rfam family "Bacterial small subunit ribosomal RNA", at positions 28 to 507 of the family's 1533-position model. The record is from RNAcentral.